GUCAGGACACAGCAUGGACAUGAGGGUGCCCGCUCAGCGCCUGGGGCUCCUGCUGCUCUGGUUCCCAGUUUGCAAAGUGGGGUCCCAUCAAGGUUCAGCGGCAGUGGAUCUGGGACGGAUUACACUCUCACCAUCAGCAGCCUGCAGCCUGAAGAUUUUGCAACUUAUUACUGUCAACAGUAUUAUAGUACCCCUCCCACAGUGUUACACACCCAAACAAAAACCCCCAGGGAAAGAGAUGUGUGAG
This 247-nucleotide long non-coding RNA is filed under the name Homo sapiens (human). RNAcentral's name for it is "HSALNT0035578". Lineage: Eukaryota; Metazoa; Chordata; Mammalia; Primates; Hominidae. The record is from RNAcentral.